GGCUUGGAUCCCUUCUUCCAGGUCCUUUAGUUUCUCAAACACUCUGUCUGAGGUGCCGAAAACCAAAUUGUUUGUGAACACCUUGCUUAGGUAUUGCACGGGGGUCAGCCAGGACUGGAUGAGAACCAGUGAAAACCGAAGCAGCUCCAUGUCCUGAAAUUACCAAAGGAUUUCAGAGCUGUGCAGUGCGGUGUUCCUGCAGUGCUGCUGCAUGCCCUGCUCUCCCUGAAGCAGCCCGGAGGAGCUGAGCGCCACCACUCAGACCUGAGUCCCUGUUCUGAAGACUUUAUUUAGGGGGGGAAUAGGAUUUCCUGCCCGACCCGUGUCUUUCUGCACGCAGGGUGUGAAAAGGAAGAAUCCCAGGAGAGGUGGAAACCCUGUGUUCCAUAGAACAGCGCUGUGUGUGCUGGGGGGAGACGACUCACCGAUUUCUGCUGGGCGUCAUCCUUCCCUGUGGGAGCUGGGAUGGUUUCCGAGUAACAAAAUGCGGCCUGGGAGUUUUUGUUGGUGUACCUCUGGUCCUCCGGAAUGUAGGUUGCAAGAAGGAAACGUGGCACACGAUGUGCAUCUCUGUGCAGGUGGGAAAGCGGAGCACAGCACUGCUGGACUUAUGGAUCUGCUCUCACUGAGGCAGAGGGUUGAGUCUUUGCAGGGAUGUACGCAGGGUGGGAAGCCACGGCGCGCUCCUGGCAACAUCAAGCUAACAAGACGGCCAACACUUACGAACUCUUUGUACGUCUCAGCAGCCAGGAGGUGGAGGUGCUGAGCCCUCAGCACAGCGUUGGCAAACAGGUUGGAGAGGGGCAUGGCAGGGAAGGUGGCAGCAGCGCCCUGCGGCAGUCCCAACGUGACCACAGCAACGAGGAGAGGAGAAAACCACGAGCCUGCAGCAGAGCGCAGAGGAGAGGGGUUACAGGAGAGGGGUUACCUGUCCUUUGGUGGCACCUGGGAUCAGUGUUGCGCCCACCUGUUUCACCUUCCCGAGCAGAGCACGGGGCGCCCUUUGGUGCCUGAGCAAACAGGACGGAGAGCAGUGGGUGAGGAGUGGGAACGGCUCAGCUGAGCCUCUGCACCAUGCUGCUGCCACUGCACUGCCUCCACUGGGACCAGAGGUGGUUGCAUUGCCUGCGCUGUGGCUCCCUGGGACACAGCUAGCAUCUGGAGGUCACUGCCAAGCCUGAAGGUUAUUAACCCUUCACAUCAGCUCACACCAGUGCCCACUUACACAGGUUAAUCUCAGUGGAGGUGAACUGGAGUGGAGGAAUGCUCUGGAGCCUGCAGGACUUGCACAAGUGCAGGAUUGAAUUGUUAUCUUUGAAGUGCCUUUCAACCCAGGCCAUUCUGAGGGUCUACGAUUAGACAUCACCCUGCUCUCUGUUCAGAGCCUUGGAAUUGAGUUUUCAUAUCCCUGGCAGCACAUAUGAUAGCAAUAACUGUUACAACUCUGCUUUGCCUCGUUCUCUGUAUUCUGCAGCUCAUUCCUGCCCCUUGCCAAGGUUGGGCUCAGGGUUACCUGACUGUUUGUGGUAUGAAGUCGCGCUGUAGGGAAAGAUGUCCUUUGUCACUGAUCUGUAAGCUGCCAAGUUUUAAUUCAGAGCCCCCCCAGCGCCACCCCACCAUCGCGUCCCACCACCCAAAGCGCUUUGAUGGCACGUCUGUUAAAGCUGAGGUAAAGCAAAGUACCUGGAGCCAUUCCUGCCAGGAGAGCUGCUUGGGAGCUGCUUGAGCGUUUCCUCCUUUCAUCCAGGUGAUGAUGCCAGGUGAGACACCCCUUAUAUAGGGGGCUCUGUUUAAAAUGGAUGGGGCGUUCGCCAUCACUGCCACCUCUCCAUAUCCCGUCCUUGCAUAAAUGCAGAUGUGCUCGCCAUGGUGCCACCUCAUUCUAGUCAUUUAUACGGAGAUGGAAAGGUUGGGGAGGAUGUUUGCCUGGGGAUAAAAUUAGUGCUGAACUUUUUCUUCA
Long non-coding RNA from Lagopus leucura (white-tailed ptarmigan), 1960 nucleotides. RefSeq lists it as uncharacterized. The transcript has 4 exons. NCBI's taxonomy places the organism in Eukaryota, Metazoa, Chordata, Aves, Galliformes, Phasianidae. The record is from RefSeq and is a predicted model, not a curated record.